UUGCGGAAGGUUCGUUC
RNAcentral lists this ribosomal RNA (17 nucleotides) under Botryosphaeria dothidea. Its description in RNAcentral is "partial 18S ribosomal RNA". Lineage: Eukaryota; Fungi; Ascomycota; Dothideomycetes; Botryosphaeriales; Botryosphaeriaceae. The record is from RNAcentral.